GAAAAGUAAAGCAGUUUGGAUACCCUCUUCAGCUCAGGUAGAUAGAUACACACAUCCGUUGCACUCUAUGAAGGGAAGGCUUUCAGAGAAGCUGUGGAAAUCAGGCUGGAAUGUUUGUGCAGUAACUGAAGGAAAUGGAGCUCACCAGCAUCCUAAGUCUACAGCACUCUUCAGUAGGGCAGUUCCGAAAAAAAUGUAUCUCUCCACAAGGAACAUGCACCUCUGGCUGUACUGCGGGGCCAUGAUUAGAAGAGGGACAGGGGAGAAGGCUCCACAGGUAAAGGUAUGUGCUAUAUACACUUAAGAACCCAACUUUGGAUCUCCAGCAUCCACAUAACUGAAGGGUGGGUUUGGCAGCUCACCUACAAUCCUGAGCAAAGGAGGCUGACACUGGGGCUCCCCAUAGCAUCUGACUGGCUGCACUCGCUGAAUCUGUAAAUUCUGGAUAAAAAUUCAAGACCCUGACUCAAUAUAUAAGGUAGAGAGCAAAUGAGAGAGAGAUAUCUGAUGUCUAUCCAUGGCCUUCAC
This is a non-coding RNA of Peromyscus maniculatus bairdii (prairie deer mouse), 528 nucleotides long. The record is from RefSeq and is a predicted model, not a curated record. Lineage: Eukaryota; Metazoa; Chordata; Mammalia; Rodentia; Cricetidae.